AUGAGGGCUAUUUCUUCAUCUUGCUCUUCAUUUUCUGUUUCAUCAGAUUUUUCAUCAAGUUGAGCAGUGGAUUUGAGGAUGAUUGUCCUCUUCUUCUUGACAUCUUCUUCUUGAUAUUGUGUCAUGCUUAGCUCGUGUAUCAUUAGCGAUCCUAGAAGCUCCUUCAAGGAUAAAAUAUUUAGAUCUUUGGCUUCUUGGAUUGCGGUCACUUUGGCCUCCCAAGUCCUUGGUAAAGACCUAAGAAUCUUUCUCACA
RNAcentral lists this long non-coding RNA (255 nucleotides) under Elaeis guineensis (African oil palm). RNAcentral's name for it is "long non-coding RNA (EGUI_LNC000680)". The record is from RNAcentral. Lineage: Eukaryota; Viridiplantae; Streptophyta; Magnoliopsida; Arecales; Arecaceae.